Molecule: ribosomal RNA, 529 nt
Filed under: uncultured bacterium
Lineage: Bacteria
Description: bacterial SSU rRNA
Rfam family: Bacterial small subunit ribosomal RNA
Source: RNAcentral
UUUGACUCCGUGGCCUCGAAGGAUAGAACGACUAGGCCGAACGACGGACCUAACACAUGACAAGGUCGGAGGGGGCAGCAACAGUUAAGGUAGCAAUUACGUUUUGGGUGGCGACCGGCGCGACGGGUGAGUACACGUAUGCAAUCUACCUGUAAGCGGGGGAUAACCCGGAGAAAUUCGGACUAAUACCGCAUAACACCACGAAUUCGCAUGAAUUUGUGUGUUAAACAUUUAUGGCUUACAGAUGAGCAUGCGUAUGAUUAGAUAGUUGGUAGGGUAACGGCCUACCAAGUCUGCGAUCAUUAGGGGUUCUGAGAGGAAGGUCCCCCACACUGGUACUGAGACACGGACCAGACUCCUACGGGAGGCAGCAGUGAGGAAUAUUGGUCAAUGGGCGAGAGCCUGAACCAGCCAAGUCGCGUGAAGGAAGAAGGUUCUAUGGAUUGUAAACUUCUUUUGUAAGGGAAUAAAGUACACUACGUGUAGUGUUUUGUAUGUACCUUACGAAUAAGGAUCGGCUAACUCCGUG